GGAGGGGUGUCCGAACUGGCUAAGGAGCCGGUCUUGAAAACCGGUACGCCCUUCAAGGGCAAUGUGGGUUCGAGUCCCACCCCCUCCGCCA
RNAcentral lists this transfer RNA (91 nucleotides) under Candidatus Caldatribacterium sp. RNAcentral's name for it is "tRNA-Ser". It matches the Rfam family "tRNA". Rfam says of the family: Transfer RNA (tRNA) molecules are approximately 80 nucleotides in length. RNAcentral also lists the same sequence under 1 other name. Lineage: Bacteria; Pseudomonadati; Atribacterota; Atribacteria; Atribacterales; Candidatus Caldatribacteriaceae. The record is from RNAcentral.